AGUGAACGCUGGCGGUAUGCCUAACACAUGCAAGUCGAACGGCAGCACAGUAAGAGCUUGCUCUUACGGGUGGCGAGUGGCGGACGGGUGAGGAAUACAUCGGAAUCUACUUUUUCGUGGGGGAUAACGUAGGGAAACUUACGCUAAUACCGCAUACGACCUACGGGUGAAAGCAGGGGAUCUUCGGACCUUUCGCGAUUGAAUGAGCCGAUGUCGGAUUAGCUAGUUGGCGGGGUAAAGGCCCACCAAGGCGACGAUCCGUAGCUGGUCUGAGAGGAUGAUCAGCCACACUGGAACUGAGACACGGUCCAGACUCCUACGGGAGGCAGCAGUGGGGAAUAUUGGACAAAGGGCGCAAGCCUGAUCCAGCCAUACCGCGUGGGUGAAGAAGGCCUUCGGGUUGUAAAGCCCUUUUGUUGGGAAAGAAAAGCAGCAGGUUAAUCCCCCGCUGUUCUGACGGUACCCAAAGAAUAAGCACCGGCUAACUUCGUG
RNAcentral lists this ribosomal RNA (492 nucleotides) under uncultured bacterium. RNAcentral describes it as "partial 16S ribosomal RNA". It matches the Rfam family "Bacterial small subunit ribosomal RNA", at positions 29 to 507 of the family's 1533-position model. The record is from RNAcentral.